Phrynosoma platyrhinos (Desert horned lizard) is the source of this 72-nucleotide non-coding RNA. NCBI's taxonomy places the organism in Eukaryota, Metazoa, Chordata, Lepidosauria, Squamata, Phrynosomatidae. The record is from the annotation of a GenBank genome assembly.
CAUGAGCUUUCGCAGUGGUUUGAGUGUUGGACUAUGACUCUGGAGACCAGGGUUCAACUCCCUGCUGUGUGA